Cicer arietinum (chickpea) is the source of this 1438-nucleotide RNA transcript. It is a transcript of the gene named WAT1-related protein At3g28070-like, with no coding region annotated. Lineage: Eukaryota; Viridiplantae; Streptophyta; Magnoliopsida; Fabales; Fabaceae. The record is from RefSeq and is a predicted model, not a curated record.
UAUACACACAUCAUCAUCGACUUUACUUAUAGAAAAUAUCAUUACACCAAAACCAAUUUGUAAAUAGUGUUAGAGAAAGUAGAAAAGCAUAGAGAGAGAGAGAGAGAGAGAGAGAUAACAUGAAUGGUAGAACUAGAAAAUUACUUCCAUUUAUGGGAAUGAUUGUUGCUGUUUUAACUCAAAGUGGGAGCAUGGUGGUAAUUAAAGUUGCCAUGAAAGAUGGAAUGAAUAAAUAUGUAAUGGUUGUUUAUUCCAUGGCACUUUCCAGUAUCAUGCUUCUUCCCUUAGCCUUCUUUAUCCACAGAACAGACCGCCCUCCUCUCACCUUCUCUUCACUUUGCAGCUUCUUUUUGCUUGCUCUUUUCGGAACUUCAGGACAGAUAAUGACUUAUGCUGGCAUUGAACUAAGCUCAGCUACACUUGCUUCAGCAAUGCUUAACCUCAUUCCAGCUUUCACUUUCGUAAUUGCUCUUAUUUUCAGGAUGGAAAUAUUAAAUUGGAGACAUUGUAGUAGUCAAGCUAAAGUGAUAGGAACAAUAGUAUCAAUGGCUGGAGCAUUUGUUGUGAUAUUCUACAAGGGUCCACCAAUAUUCAAGAUACAUUCUUCAAAUUCAUUCAACACACUUCAAUUUUCACCACAAUUGAAUUGGAUCAUGGGUGGGUUGUUAUGUGCUGGUGAUUCUUUAUUUUCUGCCAUAUGGUACAUAUAUCAGGUUUCAGUAACAAAGAAAUACCCUGCUGUAAUAGUGAUAGUGUUCUUCCAAGUGUUUUUUAUUGCAAUUCAAUCAGGAGUAUUUGCCUUAAUUGUGGUUAGAGAUCCAAGUGCAUGGGAACUAAAGCUUGAUAUGAGGUUGAUUGUCAUUUUCUACCAGGCAAUAGCUGCAAUAGGAAUUCGUUACUUGCUACAAACAUGGUGUGUACAAAGAGCUGGUCCUCUGUUUUGUGCUAUGUUCAAGCCGGUCGGAAUCAUCUUCACUGUUAUUAUGGGUUCAAUUUUUCUUGGAGAGGUUUUCAAUCUUGGAAGUUUGAUUGGUGCUGUUAUAAUCGUCGUAGGAUUUUAUGCCGUGCAAUGGGGCAAAGCUUCAGAACAAAAAUCUCAUAACUUCGACACGUCUUCUAAUGUUGUUCCACUAUUACAAAACAAGGCGUAAUCAUUUAUACAUACCAUACUAUACACACAUUCAACACUUUAUAUAGUGAGGCAAAAAAUAAAAAUAAUAACAGGGGAGGAGUGCAUCUUGUUGCAAAACAGGGGAGUCAGUAAGGAGGGAACUCAAAAAGGAAGUAGAUGUGCAGAGCAGAAGAGAAAAACUUUUUUUUUUUUGUUAUUUUAUUUUUUGUGAUAAAUAUAAUGUAAUUGGGAAUUUAUAUAGACUUAAAAUUGUAUCAAAUUUAUAAAAUGACUAUUUCUUAAAGUUAAUAAUAUCCCUUUUAAUUU